GCUCCGCCCCGCCCCGUCUCCCGGCACCGCGGCCGCUGGCGGCGGCUCUGCCGCGGGGGGUCCCCGCGCCCGCCCGGCCCGGGCACCGUGCCGCUUUGCGGGGCUGGGGGCUGCUCGGGGGGCCUCUCCGCGUCCCGCCGGCCCCACCCGCACCACCGCGGACGCGGUCCCGUUACGCGGGCGUCGGUGGGGGCGAGCGCUGCGCGGGGGCGCCUCUGGGUCGGGCCCCGGGGCCGGAGCUGCGGGCGCCGAGCGGGACGGGCCCCGCGGAUACGGCCGCUGGCUGCGGUGCCCCCGUGCCCCUUGGGCUGACGCGCUCCCGGUAGCGGUUCCCCGGUGGAGGUUCGGGGCUGGGGCCGGGAAGGAGCGAUUGGGCUUCUGUUGUGGCGCCCUUUCUCUGCGUGGCCGAGCGCAGCGCCGGAGCAGCCAACUGGCGUUACCCCGCCGCGGGUACUGCGAAAAGCGGAGCUCUGUCCGCGCUCCAGCGGCGUGACCGCGAGUCCCCAUCGCAGGGAUUCCUUACAGGCGAGACCCGUUCCUAACACCUGUUUGGGGUGGGCUACGGGGAAGUUUUUUUUCUUCUUUUUCGGUUGCCUUCGAGGAUGGAGAUGGAGGCGCGCAGGAGAGCCCCGCGCAGCGGAGGGCUGGGGAGGGCGGGCCGCGGGCACUGCCUGUCCUCUGGCGGCGCGGCCCCGCGGGACGGGCACGGCUCCGGGCACACGGGCGGCCGGCUGCCGUCCGCUGGCGGACGGCGUCAGGGCGGCGGAUGGGACGCGCACGGCUUGGUGGAACACCCCGCAGGUGCUUUUUGUUCAAGGUGACUCUACAGGGCAGCUUUGUGAUCAGAUGGAACAACGUUGUCAUUCAGGAUUUAUGCAAACACUUGUCUAUUUAAUUACAUCUAAUUUAAGGACGUGCAUCAAGCAUUCUGCUUUGAUCCGUGGCUUUCAAAACAUUCAGCAAAUGCCACAGGAAAGCCAAUGA
RNAcentral lists this long non-coding RNA (984 nucleotides) under Pavo cristatus (Indian peafowl). RNAcentral's name for it is "lncRNA (ENSPSTG00000011308.1)". Lineage: Eukaryota; Metazoa; Chordata; Aves; Galliformes; Phasianidae. The record is from RNAcentral.